ACUGCCACAGUGCUCUUGUGAAAGCCCACCUCCGUCUACUGACCCAAGAACAUCAGCUGCACAUGACUUGAGGGAUGCUCUCCAAUACAGACCCCUUAGUGCUCUUCAGAACACCCAAGGUCACGGAGAUAAGAAAGGGCAUGCAUCUCAACUCAGAGGAGCCCCAGCCCUGGUGCUUGGUCACCUGUGAACUGGAUCUCACAGUUGCAAUCACAAUUUUCCAGCCUGCCUUCUUCAUCGCCUUCACCCUCAAGGAAGUUACUCCGGAGUGUGCUCCAGAAGAAUGAAAGGGUAAACCAGGAAAGAGGAAGAGAUACAAACAAUGAAUCCUAACCCUGGCUGGCGGAGCACCAGAGUUCUGGACAGCUGUGUGGCCCUGGUGAGACGGCUUACUGGGUGAAGCAUUUGCUCUCCAAGACUAAUGACCUGAGUUGGACUACUGAAACCUACAAGUAAAGGAGAGAACUCACUCCUGAAAGUCAUCCUACGGUCUCCACACGGUCUCCACACUCGUGCCAUGGCAUGCCCUGACACCUACACUUCACACACAACAACAACAAUAAUAAUAAAGAAAAUGA
This is a non-coding RNA of Peromyscus maniculatus bairdii (prairie deer mouse), 578 nucleotides long. NCBI's taxonomy places the organism in Eukaryota, Metazoa, Chordata, Mammalia, Rodentia, Cricetidae. The record is from RefSeq and is a predicted model, not a curated record.